Molecule: ribosomal RNA, 505 nt
Filed under: uncultured bacterium
Lineage: Bacteria
Description: partial 16S ribosomal RNA
Rfam family: Bacterial small subunit ribosomal RNA
Source: RNAcentral
GACGAACGCUGGCGGCGUGCCUAAUACAUGCGAGUAGAACGCACAGUUUAUACCGUAGCUUGCUACACCAUAGACUGUGAGUUGCGAACGGGUGAGUAACGCGUAGGUAACCUGCCUGGUAGCGGGGGAUAACUAUUGGAAACGAUAGCUAAUACCGCAUAAUAUUAAUUAUUGCAUGAUAAUUAAUUGAAAGGUGCAAUUGCACCACUACCAGAUGGACCUGCGUUGUAUUAGCUAGUAGGUGAGGUAACGGCUCACCUAGGCGACGAUACAUAGCCGACCUGAGGGGGUGAUCGGCCACACUGGGACUGAGACACGGCCCAGACUCCUACGGGAGGCAGCAGUAGGGAAUCUUCGGCAAUGGACGAAAGUCUGACCGAGCAACGCCGCGUGAGUGAAGAAGGUUUUCGGAUCGUAAAGCUCUGUUGUAAGAGAAGAACGGGUGUGAGAGUGGAAAGUUCACACUGUGACGGUAUCUUACCAGAAAGAGACGGCUAACUACGUG